Molecule: long non-coding RNA, 333 nt
Organism: Pseudophryne corroboree (corroboree frog)
Lineage: Eukaryota; Metazoa; Chordata; Amphibia; Anura; Myobatrachidae
Exons: 3
Source: RefSeq, a predicted model, not a curated record
UGGUGCACUUGCCUGUGUGCACUGUGCAGUGAUGGAGGAGCCUGCAGACAUGAGUAGAGGAGCAGCCACACCACAGGCACAGAGUGCUACUGCAUCCUCUGACCGUUGGACCAACUCCUGCAUGAAGAAAGAAGCCAGCCAGAGACGGGAUUUUCUAGCAUGAAGUGAGAGGAGAAGUUUAAGGCGCAGCAAUGACCAGCUUCUCAUCUUAUCCCCUAGUCCCAGAGCUUUGCUCCCCCAACCUUUCAGUCACCAGAUGUGCUUUACAAUAGUUGGUUGCUACAAGAAAUGCAGAAUAUUAAGUUGCCUGCUGUCUUUCACUAAGCAGUUACC